Long non-coding RNA from Perca fluviatilis (European perch), 381 nucleotides. RefSeq lists it as uncharacterized. NCBI's taxonomy places the organism in Eukaryota, Metazoa, Chordata, Actinopteri, Perciformes, Percidae. The record is from RefSeq and is a predicted model, not a curated record. The transcript has 3 exons.
CCUCGACUCUGGAGGGAAGAGGUAGAGUGACCAGGUGUCUCUCUGUCGACACCACUCUGGCUGUUUCUUCUCCAGCCAGCGGAACAGUCUGGCAAAACGACCCUAGAGUGUUGUCCUCCAGAGAGACGUGUGUGGGGCCCAGGGCUGACGGAGAGCCCUUCCCAUUGCAGUCGCUGUGCUCUGGGGGCCGUAACUGGCCCAGUGAGGGGGGUCUGGAGCUGUGCAUGCUGGCUGAGCGGUACAGUUCCUUGUCACCUGGAAUAUUCCCUGCACCACUGCCUAGCUGUCUGCUUCACCAGUGUGCUGGAUCUUCACAAACCCUCCAGCCGGCUUGCUUACACCCACUGCUCCACCAUCUGCACUCGCCUGUUUUUUUCCACG